GGGUGAGUAGCUCAGCUGGUCAGAGCGCGCGGUUCACAUCCGCGAGGUCAGGGGUUCAAGUCCCUUCUCACCCACCA
This 77-nucleotide transfer RNA is filed under the name Sphaerobacter thermophilus. RNAcentral describes it as "tRNA-Val". It matches the Rfam family "tRNA". Rfam says of the family: Transfer RNA (tRNA) molecules are approximately 80 nucleotides in length. Their secondary structure includes four short double-helical elements and three loops (D, anti-codon, and T loops). Lineage: Bacteria; Pseudomonadati; Thermomicrobiota; Thermomicrobia; Sphaerobacterales; Sphaerobacteraceae. The record is from RNAcentral. RNAcentral also lists the same sequence under 1 other name.